AUAUGAACGGAUCGUUUUUAUACAGUGUCUGUGAUUAAUAAUCUGUGAUACAUAUUCAAGCUAUAAGGGAAGUCGUAAACCCCAGAAUCCUCUCAUUUUUGUACCUGGAUAUAGAAGGUUUCAAAACGGAGUCAACAUGAACUAUAGAAUAUUUAUAACUAUAAAACAUUGUUAAAUCCUAAUAACCCAAUCUAUGUUACAGUUUUAUUGAAGACAUCAAUGACUACAAAACAGUCCGCGAUAACUAUUACUAAUUGAAUAAAAUAAAUAAAAAGCCGGGUCUGUAACUGUUACAACAGUUACUCUGCUGAGUAAGUACUCUUUAGUAAGUUCAAAGUGUGCUAAACAAACUUCUUUAGACAAAAUAUCUAUGACAGAUAAAUGAGACUGACAGGCUGACUAUUUGAAAAAAGAAUUUAACAUCAUGUCUUCGAUGAUAAGCAUCUCGUAAUUUUUACAUCUAUUUUUAAUUUUUAAAAUUCUCUGUUAGUGAUUUCAAGAUAAUUCGGACAAAGCAAGAUUUGCAAUUCAAUUGUAAAACCUCUUUCGGGUUUUAUUGAAGUCAAAAAUGGGGAAGUGUGGGCGAAAGUAUGAUGUCUGUGAACUUGAAUUAUUAUUAGAAAUAUAUAUAUUUUAAAUUUAAUGAGUUUACCUCUUUCAGGAUGCGUAAAACGUAAGUUGGAUUAUAAGGUAUAAAUGUGACCUCAAAUUGUGAAUACCGUUAAUCUAUGUCGAUGUCAUAUGUGACAGUUAACAAUUGUAAACUGUUAAAAAUUUAAGUCUGCCAUCUGGGAAAUGCAACAAUUUCGCAUAAAUUGUAACAAAAACAGUUGAUUUGUUUUGUUAAUUUUUCACAAAAAUACAUACACUAUCCAUACAAUACAAAAACAAUACGUUUAUGUCGAAGAUAAAAAUAAUAAUAAUACAUAAAAUACACUAUAUCGCAACUGUAAACUUAGUCAGCGAAUAUACAAAGAUGUCGAUAGUCGGAGACAUUAUUCAGUAAGCACGACGUCUUUGUUAAUCUGUGCAACAUAUUAGCUCUGAGCAUCUCUCAUUGGCAUCGCAAACAAACUUGUCCAUCGCCAUCGCACAUAUCCAUUAGGUACAAAUCGCCCGAAGGGACACUUGGGUGCUCAAAACCCAUAUUCAUUUGAAAAAUGUAAUUAUAACAAUGGGUUAGUAAGCAAAACAUAUUUUAUGUAUUAUUCGUCUAAAGGUAAGGAAAUAUUAUUUUGUUUUAACUGAUUUUAUGACUUCAGUGUGUGACUCACAUCCCUGAGGUUCGAUCCCCUGCGGUCCCCCUAUGGACUUUAUAUUUUGUGGGCACAUCUAACAUUGAAAAUUAACAUCUUGAAGGAACAUUGGAAGGAAACCAGCGUUAUAUCUAAAAAUUCCACGGCGUAUCAGCUACAGAAGGCUGAUCAUCUACUUGCCUGUUAAAAAGCUGAGGCCCAGGACUAAAUGAUAGCGCCACUUUUUUGUAAACCAGUAAACCAUUACAACGGGAUUCCCCUAUAACGCUUUUUCGUAUAACGCGAUUUUCGUAUUUCCACGUUGCACAUAGUAUUAUACCUAUUUGAUAUUUCAGUGAUAGCCCUGCUUGGAGUUAUGUUUGGUUUAGUUUCUAGGUUUAACAUAAAUUGUACAGAAUCGAGCGUUUUUCUAAAAAGAAAUCCUUUACAAAUUACCCCCUAUACACUUCCAAAAUUGACAUUUUCCCCCUAUAUUUUGGGUAAUAACCCUGAAGUUGGCAUCACUGGACGAAAGCCGAGAAAUUGUGUACAUCCUUAGCGUUCAUACUGUAUCGCUAGCGAUUUUCAGAGUAUGAAGUCAUCGCGGUGAUUUUUUUCGUAGAUUACGCUGCCGGUCAAAGUCGGGCCGGUUUAAACGAUGUCGGUGUGGAGAUCGCCGUUAUUCAAUACGACCAAAAAGUCGUUGCCGACGAAGAUCGAGGUCGCGUCGGCGCAGAUCACGUUCUUGCCGAAGCCGGGGACGGUACAACUGGAGAUGCCGAUCCCGCUCAGGUAGAUUUAAAAGAUGCAAACGUUGUGAUCGAAGAUACCGUCUAAGGAAGAGGUCCGCUUCUUAAAUUCUCGUGGUUAGAGUAAAUUGGUACUAGAUUAAAGAAGCUCUGAGUGGUUGGUCUUAUAGAAAUAUCUCAAAGCUUCUUUAGUCCAAUUCACACGUGAUCCGUCUUCCCGUUGGAUGAAUCAAAAUCAAAGGAAACGCUUGAUUUUUCGUUUUAACCUUGUUAUAGAAUUUUUGUAGUAUGAGAUAAAUUGUUAUCGGUUUUAUUGUUUGGAAAUGUUUAAUUUAUUUUUUAUAAAUUAUAUUUUUAUUUUAUAUUAA
Long non-coding RNA from Pieris rapae (cabbage white), 2352 nucleotides. RefSeq lists it as uncharacterized. The transcript is spliced from 5 exons. The record is from RefSeq and is a predicted model, not a curated record. Lineage: Eukaryota; Metazoa; Arthropoda; Insecta; Lepidoptera; Pieridae.